Molecule: long non-coding RNA, 593 nt
Filed under: Toxoplasma gondii VEG
Lineage: Eukaryota; Apicomplexa; Conoidasida; Eucoccidiorida; Sarcocystidae
Source: RNAcentral
GAAGAAGCAGAAAGCGAAAGUGUGAGGGAGUGGAAGUACCCGAGAGAAACGAGACGAGAGCGACGGUGGCGAAAGGUACGGUCAGAGAGGUCGCAGGUCGAGACAAAGAGAGAAAACGACCACUGCGAGAGACCGGACGUUGGCACAAGCCGAUGACGGAGGUAAAACGCGCGAUACGCUAGAGAAAGAAGUCCACCAUGAAGGAACAAAACAGGCAAGUAGGGAUCACGGAGCACUGUGGCAAAGAGGUCGAAUUGGUGACGCGGAUAGAGAGAGAGAGAGAGUUGCCCUCGAGUAACACAACCCCGUGAUACGCAGAGAGGGUGAGGCACUCGAGUUCGACGCAUGCAGAGGAAUUCUUGAAUGUGACAGAGAGUCAGAGGAACUCGCGGUAUUUACAAGGGUGUCUGAAAAAGGCGGUGUGAAAAAGGCGCAGUCCCGCGCUUCUUCAGGAUGUUUCCGUGGCAGACCAGACGCGAGAGCUCGCCGCAGAGAGGAGGUUCCGGCAUUUCUUCGCAUUUUUUUUCUGGCGGCAUGCCCCAGAAAAGCACAUGGCAUUUUUUCCUUGUCCACCGCAUCACUCCUUUUCCCCG